RNAcentral lists this ribosomal RNA (305 nucleotides) under uncultured bacterium. Its description in RNAcentral is "bacterial SSU rRNA". It matches the Rfam family "Bacterial small subunit ribosomal RNA", at positions 335 to 650 of the family's 1533-position model. The record is from RNAcentral.
GGUCCCUACGGGACGCAGCAGUCGAGAAUCAUUCACAAUGGGGGAAACCCUGAUGGUGCGACGCCGCGUGGGGGAAUGAAGGUCUUCGGAUUGUAAACCCCUGUCAUGUGGGAGCAAAUUAAAAAGAUAGUACCACAAGAGGAAGAGACGGCUAACUCUGUGCCAGCAGCCGCGGUAAUACAGAGGUCUCAAGCGCUGUUCGGACUCACUGGGCGUAAAGCGUGCGUAGGCUGUUUCGUAAGUCGUGUGUGACAGGCGCGGGCUCAACCCGCGGACGGCACAUGAUGCUGCGAGACUAGAGUAAU